UGCUUAGAGGUUAAGCCCGAUGAACCUGAAUAUCCAUUUUGGAAAAUUCAUCGCUUAGUACUAUAAUAUAUUUUAUUAUAUAUUAUGGGAAUAGUGUGCAAUUUUUCCAUAUAAGGACAUUGUAAUCUGUUAACGUAUAAAAAAAUAUUUAUCAAAAGAUCAUUAGCGUAUGUUUAUUCAAAUUGAUUUGUUCAUUCAAAUUAACAUAGAAUAAAUGCUUUUGAUUUGAUAAAGCGUUGACAAAUUUAUUAUAUAUAGUGCUCAAAUUCUUUGGAAUUUUACAAUGGCAUAUUAAUCUAUUGAUUUUUUGUGUCUAAUAUUGUAUGCACUUAUAUGAUUAACAAUGCGAUAGAUUCAGGAUACCUUCGGGACCCGUCUUGAAACACGGACCAAGGAGUCUAACAUAUGUGCAAGUCAUUGGGAUUAUUUUUAUAUAAACCCAAAGGCGUAAUUAACUUAACUUGUUAUAAUGGGAUUAGUUUAUGCUUUAUUUUAUAAAAUGUAAAUUCAAUCCCGGGGCGUUCUAUACAGUUAUGUAUAAUAAUAUUUAUAUUAUUUAUACCUCUAACUA
RNAcentral lists this ribosomal RNA (571 nucleotides) under Nephrocerus lapponicus. Its description in RNAcentral is "eukaryotic LSU rRNA". Lineage: Eukaryota; Metazoa; Arthropoda; Insecta; Diptera; Pipunculidae. The record is from RNAcentral.